UGGGGAAUAUUGCACAAUGGGCGCAAGCCUGAUGCAGCAACGCCGCGUGAGGGAUGACGGCCUUCGGGUUGUAAACCUCUUUUAGUAGGGAAGAAGCGAAAGUGACGGUACCUGCAGAAAAAGCACCGGCUAACUACGUGCCAGCAGCCGCGGUAAUACGUAGGGUGCGAGCGUUGUCCGGAAUUAUUGGGCGUAAAGAGCUCGUAGGCGGUCUGUCGCGUCUGCUGUGAAAACCCGAGGCUCAACCUCGGGCCUGCAGUGGGUACGGGCAGACUAGAGUGCGGUAGGGGAGAAUGGAAUUCCUGGUGUAGCGGUGGAAUGCGCAGAUAUCAGGAGGAACACCGAUGGCGAAGGCAGUUCUCUGGGCCGUAACUGACGCUGAGGAGCGAAAGCGUGGGGAGCGAACAGGAUUAGAUACCCUGGUAGUCCACGCCGUAAACGUUGGGCGCUAGAUGUGGGGCACCAUUCCACGGUUUCCGUGUCGCAGCUAACGCAUUAAGCGCCCCGCCUGGGGCAGUACGGCCGCAAGGCU
This 532-nucleotide ribosomal RNA is filed under the name uncultured bacterium. RNAcentral describes it as "partial 16S ribosomal RNA". It matches the Rfam family "Bacterial small subunit ribosomal RNA", at positions 355 to 895 of the family's 1533-position model. The record is from RNAcentral.